This 376-nucleotide ribosomal RNA is filed under the name uncultured prokaryote. RNAcentral's name for it is "partial 16S ribosomal RNA". The record is from RNAcentral.
CCCUAUGGGGUGCAGCACUACCUGCUACUCUUGUCUUUCCUUUGAGGGAGCUACCUUUCCUCGAUCCGAAUUCUCCACCUGAUUUUCCUCUCAUAUUGCUUGUAGCUGGUGCUGGUAGGGCAGACAGAGAUGGAAACAAUGUCGAUGUUCCCGGAAAGAUCGAUUCUCUAAGACAGCUAUCUAAUAUGCUUAGAAUGCGCAAUGUUGGAACUCUUCGCUAUGACAAGCGAGGCACGGGCGAAGCAUACAAGCUCGAAAAACCUGGUCGCAUGACUAGCUUUUCCGAGCAUGUCAGAGAUCUAACUUCUGUCAUUAUUGCAGCUGCUGCUCUACCUCGACAUGGAAGGCUGAUAGGUGCAGGCAUGAACGAGAGAGC